This is a long non-coding RNA of Alexandromys fortis (reed vole), 663 nucleotides long. RefSeq lists it as uncharacterized. The transcript has 3 exons. The record is from RefSeq and is a predicted model, not a curated record. NCBI's taxonomy places the organism in Eukaryota, Metazoa, Chordata, Mammalia, Rodentia, Cricetidae.
AGUGUCAUAUAUCAAUCUGUUGAUUUCAUUGGUUAAGUUAUAAUAAACCAGCUGCUUGGCCUCAUGGCUUGGAACAUAGAUGGGAGGAGUAAACAGAAUAGAAUUCUGGGCGGAAGAGGAAGUGAGGUCAGACUCUGCUCUGCUCCCGGAGAGACCCGACAGCUCUGCUGGAGCAGAGAUGCCAUGCUCAGCUCUCCCGGGUAGACGCGAUAGCUCUGCUCUCUGAGGCACACGCGAUGAAGAUGGAUGUAGGCUAGAAUCUUCCUGGGUCAUGCUCUGAAACUCUGCUAGUCUCAAACUCGGCGCAAUCCUCCUGCCUCAGCCUACCAAGAGCUGAGAUUACAGGCAUGAGCUAUCACAUAUGCCUGCAUCUCUGAGCCAUUCACCUAAGCAGCUGAACUACGGAUUUAAGCCUGUGUCUUCUGCAGGACCUGCCCUGGAUACAGAAGCCCUGUCCUGAGACCAGCUGCAGGACAUGGUUGGCAUCGCUCUUCAAGGCCUUCUCAUCUAAAAUACACGAUUACUGUUCCUUUUAUGCAAUGACUCUUCCUCCGCCUAACAGUUGACCUUGAGUACCUAGACACCCCCUUUGAGCUCAACAUCCACAAGCCUCUACUUUCUGCAAAACCCAAAGUGCAGCGUUUCUUUUCAUUAUUAACCGAC